UUUUUUCCUAAGCAAGACUUCCUUGCAAUAAGCUUCCCUAAUUAAUCUUAUUGUGUUUUCAGUGAUGGGAAUGUAAGUGAAGGAUUUCUCCCUAUUAUCUCUUCUCGGAGGUGCAGAGAAAACGUUACUUGCUAAUUCCAUUUUACACUUCAAAUUUUUUCCCUCCAACAGUAUUGCUUUGAGAUGCCACACUGAAAUGCAGAGGAUGCAUCCAGCCACCAAGACACAGCUGUUCCCAGAUACGUCCGGACAACGCAUGCAUGGUGCGUUUACCUACCGAGCAGAGCCUAAUGCUCAGCCAUACGCAGAGAAAUGCUUUCCAGAGAUUCCUGCUGAAUUAGGAUACUGAGGCAGAUCUGAAAUUGCCGUGCACAGGCAGGAGAUGUCACCGCUGAAGUACUCCUGAAGUUAUCCACUAGGAACAGAUGACUGGGAGCUGACAUCGGGCCGGAAUGUAAUCAUAGAAGUUAACGCAGCUCUUCAGAUUGUUCUUCUUUCUACGUGAUGCUGAACUUCUAGUAACUUAGUCAUCAUCGGUAGCUAUCUCAAGCCUAAGAGGAAGUGGUUGAGAUGAGAUAUUCUUUCUCUACUGAUCUCAAAAGAAAAGACCAUGAAUAAUUUUACAAGCUUCUAAUAGUUUGG
RNAcentral lists this long non-coding RNA (642 nucleotides) under Gallus gallus (chicken). Its description in RNAcentral is "lncRNA (ENSGALG00010001075.1)". The record is from RNAcentral. Lineage: Eukaryota; Metazoa; Chordata; Aves; Galliformes; Phasianidae.